This 416-nucleotide ribosomal RNA is filed under the name uncultured bacterium. Its description in RNAcentral is "partial 16S ribosomal RNA". It matches the Rfam family "Bacterial small subunit ribosomal RNA", at positions 359 to 774 of the family's 1533-position model. The record is from RNAcentral.
GAAUAUUGCGCAAUGGAGGGAACUCUGACGCAGCGGCGCCGCGUGAGCGAUGAAGGUUUUCGGAUCGUAAAGCUCUGUCCUUGAGGAAGAAGGCGGCCACGUUUGGCCACUUGACGGUACCCCAUGAGGAAGCCCCGGCUAACUACGUGCCAGCAGCCGCGGUAACAAGUAGGGGGCAAGCGUUGUCCGGAAUUAUUGGGCGUAAAGGGUGCGUAGGCGGCCUUUUAAGUCAGAUGUGAAAGACCACGGCUUAACCGUGGGGUUGCAUUUGAAACUGGAGGGCUUGAGUAUCGGAGAGGGUAGUGGAAUUCCCAGUGUAGCGGUGGAAUGCGUAGAUAUUGGGAGGAACACCAGUGGCGAAGGCGACUCUCUGGUCUGUAACUGACGCUGAGGCGCGAAAGCGUGGGGAUCAAACA